RNAcentral lists this ribosomal RNA (460 nucleotides) under uncultured bacterium. RNAcentral describes it as "partial 16S ribosomal RNA". It matches the Rfam family "Bacterial small subunit ribosomal RNA", at positions 338 to 795 of the family's 1533-position model. The record is from RNAcentral.
CCUACGGGAGGCAGCAGUGAGGAAUAUUGGUCAAUGGCCGUAAGGCUGAACCAGCCAAGUAGCGUGAGGGAAGACUGCCCUAUGGGUUGUACACCUCUUUUAUGCGGGGAUAAAGGUGUCCACGUGUGGAGGUUUGCAGGUACCGCAUGAAUAAGGCCCGGCUAAUUCCGUGCCAGCAGCCGCGGUAAUACGGAGGGUCCGGGCGUUAUCCGGCUUUAUUGGGUUUAAAGGGAGAGUAGGCCGGUCGUGAAGCGUGCGGUGAAAUUUUGUGGCUCAACCGUGAGAGUGCGGUGCAAACUGGAGACCUUGAGUGCGCGGAAGGCAGGCGGAAUUCGUGGUGUAGCGGUGAAAUGCUUAGAUAUCACGAAGAACCUCGAUUGCGAAGGCAGCUUGCCGCAGCGUUACUGACGCUGAGGCUCGAAAGCGCGGGUAUCGAACAGGAUUAGAUACCCGUGUAGUC